GGGAAUGUAGUUUAGUGGUAGAGUGCUUGCUUAGCUUGCAUGAAGCCCUAGGUUCGAUUCCUCAGUCCCA
This 70-nucleotide transfer RNA is filed under the name Dipodomys ordii (Ord's kangaroo rat). It matches the Rfam family "tRNA". From Rfam's summary of the family: Transfer RNA (tRNA) molecules are approximately 80 nucleotides in length. Their secondary structure includes four short double-helical elements and three loops (D, anti-codon, and T loops). The record is from Rfam by way of RNAcentral. Lineage: Eukaryota; Metazoa; Chordata; Mammalia; Rodentia; Heteromyidae.